CUCGCGCGGCGCGCGGAAGCCUCUUCCGCUGAAAGCUGGCUGCUUGUUGGUAGAUACCUCGCCGAGUUGGUGUUGGGGCCUUAAUUGUGAGUGGCCAAAAUGUGGGAGCCGCGAGGCCAUUGCGGUGCGGGCCACUGGCCGUUUGCACCGCGGAAGUGCGCUGAGGGCUAAGCGCGCCGGACACGUCUCUUUGAAACCAAUGCGCUGUUAGGCGGCGCCACGCCAAGGACCGCCACCCCUUCAGUCGGAUGGUGACGCCUGAACUCAUUGCUGCUGAUGGCUGAGGGAGACUUGAUAAGGUACUGUUAGAAGUAAUAGUAGCUGAGAUCAUCCGGAUGCCUUACAGGGAAUCUUCACUUUUAAAUCUUGAAAUGACUGUUGUGAAUAGUAGUACGACAGUUACCAAUACAGUCCUGAGCCUUUAACACCAAAUAAAAAUUGAUGGGUAAUAA
Meriones unguiculatus (Mongolian gerbil) is the source of this 452-nucleotide long non-coding RNA. RefSeq lists it as uncharacterized. The transcript is spliced from 3 exons. The record is from RefSeq and is a predicted model, not a curated record. Lineage: Eukaryota; Metazoa; Chordata; Mammalia; Rodentia; Muridae.